RNAcentral lists this long non-coding RNA (1915 nucleotides) under Ricinus communis (castor bean). RNAcentral's name for it is "long non-coding RNA (RCOM_LNC002987)". The record is from RNAcentral. Lineage: Eukaryota; Viridiplantae; Streptophyta; Magnoliopsida; Malpighiales; Euphorbiaceae.
AUGCCAUUCAAGGCGUUUCCAGCGACGGCGGUAGGAGAUUUCGGUGGCGAUCGACUCCCCUCGGCCUGAGUUUCAUUUCGGCAGUGUUGGUGAUGCAAUUGGUGGCCGGAGUUGGAAGUUUGCGGUGGAGAGAGAAACUGGAGGCAGCUAAAGUUUUCAAGCUUUUUCGACGAGUUUCGGCGAGCUAUGGCCGAUCGGAGGGCAUAUCCAGACUCUCCUCAGCUCAAGCUUUUCAAUGGCACCAGUUUCGCUGCGACCAGAUUCCGUUUGAAGAUCGUUUGUAAAUUUCUCUGGAUGAUUAGGGGUCGGAUUGGAAUAUCAGAAGUUGGGAUCGUCAUCAGCGCAUUGUUUCAAGUCCGUAGGCGCAUUCAGAUCGUCGAUCGGACUCCGACGGUUGGAGGCGAGUCGACCGAGUGAUCAAACGUCUCGGUAAUUCUCUAGCUGUUGAUUUUAGAAUUUAUUGAUAAAAAUUAAGUGUUUAAAUUAUUGUGUUGAAUAUUAGAAAAAUUAUGUGAGGCUUAUUAGUUAACAUAAUAACUUGUCGGACCGUUUGCCAAUAAUCGUGUUUUAUGCUGUGUGGCGGAGUCGAAAAAAAUAAUGUAGUAUAGUGGCCCGACUCCUGUUAAGUAAAUUGUUAGAUUAUUUGAAGUGUUCUCUGGCAGGUACUGGACCCGUAAUACGAGGGGUAGACGUCCGUAUUUAGGGGAGGUUCUGCCAAAUUUUCGGUAGAAUUUACCCGAUUCAAAAAAAAGUUUUAGACAGUCAGUCCUAAGAGUCUAGGCCUAGGGUUAAUUUUCAAAUAUUUUAACAUUAUUGAUUGAAUUAUUUUCUAUGAUUAGAUAAUCCGUGAGUUCGGCUCGCUCCACCUGAGACAUCAUAGCAGAGUUAGGAGGUAGUCAGAGUUGUGAGUUAAAGUCAUAUGUCUGUUUACAUGUGUCAUGCCAAGAUUUUAUGAAAUAGUUCUAAUGACAUGAUUUAAUAUUUUAAUUAUUUAUUUAUUUACUAUUUAUAUAUGUUUCAUUUUCUGCAUUAUGAUUUUAUUGAUCGCGUGUUGACUCGGGAUGGGACGGCUGUAGAAUAUGCCACCAAAUGGGUUGCAUCAGGACCGUGUGCGCACUAGUUGGAAUGUGAGACUCAUAGUAAAAAAGAGUAAAUUUAGAAAGGUAAAUUUAGGAUUUGCCCUGGUCGAGCAUUGCUCUCUGGGCUGAGUAGAGUGUGAUUGCCGGAGUAAAGGUCCUUGAUCGAGUAUUGCUCUCUUGGUGUCGGCUUAUUUAGAAACUUAAGUGACCAGACUGGACUUAAGGACCCUAGUCGAGCUUCGCUCUUUGGGCGCUAGUCUUAUUGGAGUAAGAGAGCCGAAAGGCUAAGACUGUUAAUGAUAAUUAAGUGAUCGGACUGGAUUUAAGGACCCUAGUCGAGCUUCGCUAUCUGGGCACUAGUUUUGUUGGAAUGAGAGAGUUGAGACUGGUAGUAUUGGGGCUAGGGUUUCUACUGAGGUACUUCGUCCCAGAGUAUGAAAUAAGAUUUAUUUUAUUUUACAGAAGUAUAACAUGACAUGUAUUUUAUUUUAAUUAAAUAAAUAUUUUAUUAGAGUUUUAUAUUUCGUUUUGGGAUAUAUGAUUUUAACUCACUCUCGAGACUGAUAGUCUGAAUUUUACUGUUUUUCAGGUGCGGUUAGUUUUCUGCAGUUCUUUUUAUCUAGCACCCCGACUCCUUCAUCCUCGGAUUAGAUGUAGCUGAAUUCAUUGGUAUGUUAACUUUUAAAAUUCUAGAUUCUCCGCAGUAGAAAUUUUAGACUUAUCAGUUUGUAAUUUUAUGUAAAUUCAGGUCUUGCCUAAUUAUGCUGGUAGACCGAAUUAAAUAUGUAGGAUUUGAUGGUUAAGAUUAAUUGUGAAUCAGUGCUUUGGAUUGAGUU